GCAUGUCUUUCUCCAGGACCUGGGAGUCAUUUUGUGGGAGCGUAACCAUCAAGGAAGACAGAGCCUGUAAUAGUUUGGAUGUUAAGUGUCUCUGCAAAGACCCGUGUGUCAAAGGCUUGCUCCUCAGCUUGGUGCUGUUGGGAAUUGAGGGAAUCUUUAAGAGGUGAACCUGGAGGAGGUCUUCAAAUUGUUGGAAGCAUUUCUUCAAAGCAGCCUGUGGGACCCCGUCUCCUCUUCUUUCUUUCUCAUGCCAGCCGUGGGGCAGGCAGUUGGCUCCACAAGGACUUCCUACCAUGACAAGCUGCUCUGCCACAGGCCCCAAAACAAUGGAGCCCACCUACCAUGGGCUGAACCGUCAAAAGCUAUAGACAAGAGUAAACCUUUUGUCCUCUAAAGGUUGAUUAUCUUGGGCUGUUUAUUAUAGAGGCGGAAGCUAACUCACUCAGGGCCCAUCUUCUUUUCCCAAUGGACAGCAGAAGCCUAACUCUGACAGGAAGUAACUAGCAAACACCGGUGGCCCAACCGCAGGCCCAACCUUCUCCCUAAUGUCUUCAAGCUGCUUUCUUACCAGCUUACUCAGCAUUUAAAAACUUUCCACCUGUUCUUCCAGUGGAGUCCAGUUCAGUCUGUUUCCCUCAAGGCGGUAGUCCUGAAGUCCUCCUCUCCUGUUGAACUGGGUGUCACAAUUUUUCUUUAACAAUUGGAAAGAAGAUCCUUAGGUUGGAGUUCCACCGGAACAAGAAAUAUGAAGUUGAAGGGGGUAUACUACAUCCCGAAGAAUCCAUGGUGUUAGAGGUCAAGCUCAGGUGCUGGCGAGAAACAGAGGUUCAAGUCCUUAUGUGAACCAGUGAAAAUCUCUGUCUUCAGAAGUUUUUGAAAGAACAGAGUAAAAAGAUGAACCGUUUUGUGGUUAAACCAAUUAGUGCUUAAGCAGUGUAAUAAACAAAGAUUCUUGUCGGAAGGCAGCCUUUUUAAGGCUCAAGAAAAUUUAAAACUAUUUCUUUUGCUAAUGGACUUUUUUCCCUUAACUUUUCCAAUUCCUCAGAUAGCCCUGGGCCCUCGUGUUACUAAGAUACAGUUACAGAAGGAGGAGAAAAAAACCUGACUUUUGAAAAAGGUUAGCUCAACACUACAGGGAGUCUAAUUUCUGGUUUCAUUAUAGAAUUAAAUGAGAUUGAAAUUGUUAUCUCUCUCUUUUCCUCCACGUAGAAAGAGCGAGCUGAGCUAAGGCGGAAUGGCUGUUCUUUCCUGGGUAUUUGCUGCCUUUCCUCUGCCCGCAGGGCAAAGGUCUGGGCAUUAGUAUUCUGAUGGGAAUCUGCAUGACAUUGCUGGGAAUGGACAAAUGCUCCACAAGUCCCCACACAUCCCCUACCACUCUGAUUAAAGCUUGGCAUUUGUUUUCCUGCUCUUUGGAGCAGACAGCAUGCUGCCUGGAAUUAGAAAUAUGAAAGACAGAGGAACUUCACACUGUGCAGAGAAUGUUCUUUGCUCUCUUAUUUUCAUAAGGCAGAUGAGUUGCCUAAGGAUCUUUAUAAAAUCUUGGACCUCUCAAAUAUGAGUGGAGAUCUGUUCAGUAUAAUCUGUUCAUAGCUCCCUCCCCACGCUCCUGAAGCCUUUGUGUGGCUAUCCUUUAUUAGCUAGAUUUUAAUAGAGGAAAAUUUCAAUUGUCUAGAGUAUUGAUGAAGGGAUUUGGUUAGUUUCAUACAGUUGAAGUGUCACUCAUCUGUAAGGUCUGGGGCUGCUCUGUGUUUUGAGAUGAUUUGCU
This 1765-nucleotide long non-coding RNA is filed under the name Marmota monax (woodchuck). Lineage: Eukaryota; Metazoa; Chordata; Mammalia; Rodentia; Sciuridae. The record is from RNAcentral.